GCCAGAGUGGCGAAAUUGGUAGACGCAGCGGAUUCAAAAUCCGCCGGUGGCAACACUGUGCCGGUUCAAGUCCGGCCUCUGGUACCA
Molecule: transfer RNA, 87 nt
Filed under: Paraferrimonas sedimenticola
Lineage: Bacteria; Pseudomonadati; Pseudomonadota; Gammaproteobacteria; Alteromonadales; Ferrimonadaceae
Also listed under: 5 other names
Description: tRNA-Leu
Rfam family: tRNA
About the family: Transfer RNA (tRNA) molecules are approximately 80 nucleotides in length. Their secondary structure includes four short double-helical elements and three loops (D, anti-codon, and T loops). Further hydrogen bonds mediate the characteristic L-shaped molecular structure. tRNAs have two regions of fundamental functional importance: the anti-codon, which is responsible for specific mRNA codon recognition, and the 3' end, to which the tRNAs corresponding amino acid is attached (by aminoacyl-tRNA synthetases). tRNAs cope with the degeneracy of the genetic code in two manners: having more than one tRNA (with a specific anti-codon) for a particular amino acid; and 'wobble' base-pairing, i.e. permitting non-standard base-pairing at the 3rd anti-codon position.
Source: RNAcentral